UGGGGAAUAUUGCACAAUGGGCGCAAGCCUGAUGCAGCCAUGCCGCGUGUAUGAAGAAGGCCUUCGGGUUGUAAAGUACUUUCAGCGGGGAGGAAGGGAGUAAAGUUAAUACCUUUGCUCAUUGACGUUACCCGCAGAAGAAGCACCGGCUAACUCCGUGCCAGCAGCCGCGGUAAUACGGAGGGUGCAAGCGUUAAUCGGAAUUACUGGGCGUAAAGCGCACGCAGGCGGUUUGUUAAGUCAGAUGUGAAAUCCCCGGGCUCAACCUGGGAAAUGCAUCUGAUACUGGCAGGCUUGAGUCUCGUAGGAGGGGGUAGAAUUCCAGGUGUAGCGGUGAAAUGCGUAGAGAUCUGGAGGAAUACCGGUGGCGAAGGCGGCCCCCUGGACGAAGACUGACGCUCAGGUGCGAAAGCGUGGGGAGCAAACAGG
This 429-nucleotide ribosomal RNA is filed under the name Chloroflexota bacterium. RNAcentral's name for it is "Chloroflexi bacterium partial 16S ribosomal RNA". It matches the Rfam family "Bacterial small subunit ribosomal RNA", at positions 355 to 776 of the family's 1533-position model. The record is from RNAcentral. Lineage: Bacteria; Bacillati; Chloroflexota.